UGGGGAAUAUUGCACAAUGGGCGGAAGCCUGAUGCAGCAACGCCGCGUGAGUGAUGAAGGCCUUCGGGUUGUAAAGCUCUGUCUUUUGGGACGAUAAUGACGGUACCAAAGGAGGAAGCCACGGCUAACUACGUGCCAGCAGCCGCGGUAAUACGUAGGUGGCAAGCGUUGUCCGGAUUUACUGGGCGUAAAGGAUGCGUAGGCGGAUUUUUAAGUGAGAUGUGAAAUACCCGGGCUUAACUUGGGUGCUGCAUUUCAAACUGGGAAUCCAGAGUGCGGGAGAGGAGAAUGGAAUUCCUAGUGUAGCGGUGAAAUGCGUAGAGAUUAGGAAGAACACCAGUGGCGAAGGCGAUUCUCUGGACCGUAACUGACGCUGAGGCAUGAAAGCGUGGGUAGCAAACAGGAUUAGAUACCCUGGUAGUCCACGCCGUAAACGAUGAGUACUAGGUGUAGGAGGUAUCGACCCCUUCUGUGCCGCAGUUAACACAAUAAGUACUCCGCCUGGGAAGUACGAUCGCAAGAUUAAAACUCAAAUGAAUUGACGGGGUCAUAGCUGUUUUCCU
Molecule: ribosomal RNA, 563 nt
Filed under: uncultured bacterium
Lineage: Bacteria
Description: partial 16S ribosomal RNA
Rfam family: Bacterial small subunit ribosomal RNA
Source: RNAcentral